Molecule: ribosomal RNA, 889 nt
Filed under: Dictyosporium digitatum
Lineage: Eukaryota; Fungi; Ascomycota; Dothideomycetes; Pleosporales; Dictyosporiaceae
Description: partial 28S large subunit ribosomal RNA
Rfam family: Eukaryotic large subunit ribosomal RNA
Source: RNAcentral
ACCCGCUUAACUUAAGCAUAUCAAUAAGCGGAGGAAAAGAAACCAACAGGGAUUGCCCUAGUAACGGCGAGUGAAGCGGCAAUAGCUCAAAUUUGAAAUCUGGCUUCCUUGGAAGUCCGAGUUGUAAUUUGCAGAGGGCGCUUUGGCGUCGGUAGCGGUCUAAGUUCCUUGGAACAGGACGUCACAGAGGGUGAGAAUCCCGUACGUGGUCGACUACCUUCACCGUGUAAAGCCCCUUCGACGAGUCGAGUUGUUUGGGAAUGCAGCUCUAAAUGGGAGGUAAAUUUCUUCUAAAGCUAAAUACUGGCCAGAGACCGAUAGCGCACAAGUAGAGUGAUCGAAAGAUGAAAAGCACUUUGGAAAGAGAGUCAAACAGCACGUGAAAUUGUUGAAAGGGAAGCGCUUGCCGCCAGACGUGCCCGUGGUGGUUCUCCUCCGCGGGCAGGCCAGCAUCAGUUUGGGCGAUCGGAUAAAGGCCUCUGUCAUGUAUCUCCCUUCGGGGUGACCUUAUAGGGGAGGCGUAAUGCGAUCAGCCCGGACUGAGGUCCGCGCAUCUGCUAGGAUGCUGGCGUAAUGGCUGUAAGCGGCCCGUCUUGAAACACGGACCAAGGAGUCUAACAUCUAUGCGAGUGUUUGGGUGUCAAGCCCGAGCGCGUAAUGAAAGUGAACGGAGGUGGGAACCCUUUGGGUGCACCAUCGACCGAUCCUGAAGUCUUCGGAUGGAUUUGAGUAAGAGCAUGGCUGUUGGGACCCGAAAGAUGGUGAACUAUGCUUGAAUAGGGUGAAGCCAGAGGAAACUCUGGUGGAGGCUCGCAGCGGUUCUGACGUGCAAAUCGAUCGUCAAAUUUGGGCAUAGGGGCGAAAGACUAAUCGAACUUUCUUAGCGCAG